RNAcentral lists this ribosomal RNA (572 nucleotides) under uncultured bacterium. Its description in RNAcentral is "bacterial SSU rRNA". It matches the Rfam family "Bacterial small subunit ribosomal RNA", at positions 83 to 691 of the family's 1533-position model. The record is from RNAcentral.
CCUUCGGGUCUAGCGGCGGACGGGUUAGUAACGCGUGGGAACGUGCCCUUCACUACGGAAUAGUCCCGGGAAACUGGGUUUAAUACCGUAUACGCCCUUCGGGGGAAAGAAUUUCGGUGAAGGAUCGGCCCGCGUUAGAUUAGAUAGUUGGUGGGGUAACGGCCUACCAAGUCGACGAUCUAUAGCUGGUUUGAGAGGAUGAUCAGCAACACUGGGACUGAGACACGGCCCAGACUCCUACGGGAGGCAGCAGUGGGGAAUCUUGGACAAUGGGCGCAAGCCUGAUCCAGCCAUGCCGCGUGAGUGAUGAAGGCCUUAGGGUCGUAAAGCUCUUUCGCCAGGGAUGAUAAUGACAGUACCUGGUAAAGAAACCCCGGCUAACUCCGUGCCAGCAGCCGCGGUAAUACGGAGGGGGUUAGCGUUGUUCGGAAUUACUGGGCGUAAAGCGCACGUAGGCGGAUUAGUCAGUCAGAGGUGAAAUCCCAGGGCUCAACCCUGGAACUGCCUUUGAUACUGCUAGUCUUGAGUUCGAGAGAGGUGAGUGGAAUUCCGAGUGUAGAGGUGAAAUUCGU